RNAcentral lists this ribosomal RNA (254 nucleotides) under uncultured bacterium. RNAcentral describes it as "partial 16S ribosomal RNA". It matches the Rfam family "Bacterial small subunit ribosomal RNA", at positions 524 to 777 of the family's 1533-position model. The record is from RNAcentral.
GACAGAGGGUGCAAACGUUGUUCGGAAUUACUGGGCGUAAAGCGCGUGUAGGCGGCUAAGUAAGUCGGGCGUGAAAUCCCACGGCUCAACCGUGGAAGUGCACUCGAAACUGCAUAGCUAGAGUCCUGGAGAGGAAGGUGGAAUGCUUGGUGUAGAGGUGAAAUUCGUAGAUAUCAAGCGGAACACCGGUGGCGAAGGCGGCCUUCUGGACAGUGACUGACGCUGAGGCGCGAAAGCUGGGGGAGCGAACGGGG